CCUGCUGCCGCUGGGGAGCGAUACCGGUUGUCUCCUCUCCCUGAAGAUCACACUGCCGCUGGGGAGAGAGCCAGGUUGCCGCCUCUCCCUGGGGCUCCAACUGCAGUUGGGGAUCUGGGCCAGCUGCCCAGCAUCCCUGUAGGGCCGGUAGAGAGACCUUGGUCCCAUCUCCACCUGCCAUUUGAGGUUCCUCACAGUGCCAGUCUAUGAGAUCACCCAGGACUUCGG
Molecule: non-coding RNA, 228 nt
Organism: Pelobates cultripes (western spadefoot toad)
Lineage: Eukaryota; Metazoa; Chordata; Amphibia; Anura; Pelobatidae
Source: the annotation of a GenBank genome assembly